AGACUGAGUCACACAGAGACUCCAGCUGUGCAGCGAACAGACAGGAACCUACAACUGAGAUAACAGCAGACUUUACAACAGUAGAAGAUACAACAGUAGAAGAUACAACAGUGGAAGAUACAACAGUAGAAGUUACAACAGUAGAAGUUACAACAGUAGAAGAUACAACAGUAGAAGUUACUGCAUUUCAACACACGUUUGUAAAGAUGUCUGAGGAAAUCUAUGAAAACUGCGAUGGAUUUAGUGGCAAAAAAAGAAAUAAAAUAGAGACCAUGGAUAUUAAUGAUCAAAUAUACAACAACGAAAGACCCAUCAUGACCUGCAAGAAGGUUGGUGAUCAACAUUCAGGGUCUUGUCAGUGGUGGAAGAGAUACUCUGGAGCUGCUGCAGUGUGUCUGGGGCUGCUGUGUGUUCUCCUACUGGCUGGGAUCAUAGGCCUGUUUCUCUACCAGAGGAACCAAUUGACCAGUUCCAACACCCUGACUGAAGAGAGAGACCAGCUACAGACCUGCGGAAACAACCUUACUGAAGAGAGAGACCAGCUACAGACCAGUUACAACACCCUGACCAAAAGAGAGACCAGCUACAGACCAGUUACAACACUCUGACCAAAGAGAGAGACCAGCUACAGAAAGAGACAGAACGUCUGAAACAAUCUUUAGUUGAGAAAGUGUGUCCUCGAGGAUGGAAGAAGCUUGGUAGCAGUUGUUACUACAUCUCUACUGAGAAAAAAUCCUGGGAGGAGAGCAGACAGGACUGCAGAAAUAGAGGAGCACACCUGGUGGUCAUCAAGAGCCAAGAACAACAGACAUUUGUCAAUUGGUUAUGCGGGGUAAAGAACUAUGUCUGGAUUGGUCUGACUGACUCUGUUACUGAGGGGACCUGGAAAUGGGUGGACGACACACCACUGACCACAAAGUAUUGGAACAGUAAAGAGCCUAAUGGUGGUGGAGCAGAGAACUGUGUGUAUUUCUACUCCUGGUCAUCAGACACAGGAGAAUGGUGGGACUAUGACUGUUCCUAUAAAUACAGAUGGAUCUGUGAGAAAUAGGAUUCAUCCUCUGUACUCUCUGAACUGCUAAAUAGGAUUAUGCUCAGUAUAUCGUACAUAUUUUCUGCUUAUUCAAUUUACCUUGUCAACUACAUACAAUAUGUAACAAUACAAAUGUAGAAUACAUUAUAAUAAAAAAAUAUGCAAUAACAAUACAAUGACUUGAUAAGAGAAGGACUGUUCUGUCUGUUGUUGAGGAAAUUCACCACUAAGGACUCAAAUUCAAAGGAAAUCAAUAUUUAUUAUCACAGUCACAGAGGUUCACUGACUCAAUACAAUCCUGAUGUUAAUUUUUAUUAUUAUUACUUUUUAGUUUAGUCUACUUGCUAAAUAUAUUUCUUAACUCUUCCCGAACUGCACUGUUGGUUAAGGGCUUGUAAGUCAGCAUUUCACGGUAAAGUCUACACUUGUUGUAUUCGGAGCAUGUGAGAAAUAAAGUUUGAUUUGAU
Oncorhynchus tshawytscha (Chinook salmon) is the source of this 1500-nucleotide long non-coding RNA. RefSeq lists it as uncharacterized. The record is from RefSeq and is a predicted model, not a curated record. Lineage: Eukaryota; Metazoa; Chordata; Actinopteri; Salmoniformes; Salmonidae. The transcript has 6 exons.